UUUUGCCAGGCUCUGUUGCCUUGACUUCGGAGGGCGCUGUGGGAGUGGAGAAGCCGCAAGUGCUGAGGCGCGGUGGAGGAAGGCAUGGGAGGCAAGAGCGUGAGGAGCUGGUGUCUGUGUCAGAUUUGUACCUGCGGAUCAAGGGACGAGGACGCUGCGACAUCCCCACUUAUCCCGCUCCACGAAUACUCGCUCCGCACCCGCCGGCUACCUGGGGGUAAAACAUUUCUUCGUAGCCCCUGAGACUCCCAAUCAAGGAUGCAAAGUAAAAUGCCAUCCAGGCCGGGUAAAUAAUAUAUGUGAAGCAGCGACGGGAUAUAAUAAGACUGGUGAGUAGUGGGAUGUGAUCCGACUGGAAGAAUGCAUUUCCACCCCGUCAUCCCCCACCACAAAGGCGACAUCAUUGUCCACAUGGAAUCACAAGGAUUUAUGAAAAUUCUGGGGUAUUUUGCCCCACAACUGAGUAUUUGGAAAAAUAUCCUAUGUAUGACAAUGUUCUUCCAGCUCAGAGUCUUAAACCCAAGCAAGAAAUUCGAGCAUUCCGUGGUAAAAUGGAAGGAAUAACUACAUUUAAGUAAAUAUUUAGUAACUAUUUGCCUUAUUUAUUUUUCUUCCAACUCUUCUGGUGUCAAUGAAGUUUUCUAGCUAUUUAAAUUACUGUUUAGUUGAUUUAAGUUGAACCAAUUUAAUAGGCAACAGACUAGUUAAGUCACGACUUGAAAAAAAAAAACAGAAAAAUACGAAUUAAGUUAGGCUGACAAAGUGUGAGAAGAAAAAAGGGAUAUAAAAAGUUCUAUUUUUUUAACUUCCUAAAAUAUCUCGUAUUUAUCUACUUUCCACUGUUACCACCACCUAGACCAGGGUGUCGUGUCUUUUGGCUUCACUGGGCCACAUUGGCAGAAUAAUUGUCUUGGGCCACACAUAAAAUACAAUAACACCAACCAUAGCUGAUGAGCUAAAAAAAAAAAAAAAA
This is an RNA transcript of Piliocolobus tephrosceles (Ugandan red Colobus), 973 nucleotides long. It is a transcript of the gene named stabilizer of axonemal microtubules 1-like, with no coding region annotated. The transcript has 3 exons. NCBI's taxonomy places the organism in Eukaryota, Metazoa, Chordata, Mammalia, Primates, Cercopithecidae. The record is from RefSeq and is a predicted model, not a curated record.